UUAAGAGGUUGUCUCUGUCGUUACCCACAAGUUGGGAUACGGGAAUGCAACUGUUGA
Molecule: non-coding RNA, 57 nt
Filed under: unclassified sequences
Description: Transposase-1 RNA
Rfam family: Transposase-1 RNA
About the family: Lactobacillales (Firmicutes). Environment (Human Microbiome Project, vagina)
Source: Rfam by way of RNAcentral